AACUCAGUACUCAAGACAGAGCUUCUGAAUGGGGUGUACAGUCAGCCACAGUAUUGAACUACACAGUCCUCUGACUGCAUGUAGGGGUGUCAACAUCCUCGGCGGGAACUGGAGCUAUGAUACUGGACUCUUUGACCCGAAACUCAUACACCUGACAAGAGGCAGUCACAGCCAUGAGGACACUGAGGUUUUGGUCCCGAUUAACCUGGCAAUGGCGCAGAAGUUGUCGUAGUAGGUGCCGAUGAGGACCCGGAACAUGGAGGCCUCAGCUCCGCUCC
Molecule: long non-coding RNA, 278 nt
Organism: Miniopterus natalensis
Lineage: Eukaryota; Metazoa; Chordata; Mammalia; Chiroptera; Miniopteridae
Source: RefSeq, a predicted model, not a curated record